UACGGAGGGUGCAAGCAUUGAUCGGAAUUACUGGGCGUAAAGGGCGCGUAGGCGGCUUAGAAAGUCGGAUGUGAAAUUCCGGGGCUCAACCCCGGAGCUGCAUUUGAAACUCCUAAGCUAGAGUUCAGUUAGGGUAAACGGAAUUCCACGUGUAGCGGUGAAAUGCGUAGAUAUGUGGAAGAACACCGGUGGUGAAGACGGUUUACUGGGCUGAGACUGACGCUGAGGCGCGAAAGCAGGGGGAGCAAACAGG
This 253-nucleotide ribosomal RNA is filed under the name uncultured bacterium. RNAcentral's name for it is "partial 16S ribosomal RNA". It matches the Rfam family "Bacterial small subunit ribosomal RNA", at positions 524 to 776 of the family's 1533-position model. The record is from RNAcentral.